Molecule: non-coding RNA, 65 nt
Organism: Podarcis lilfordi (Lilford's wall lizard)
Lineage: Eukaryota; Metazoa; Chordata; Lepidosauria; Squamata; Lacertidae
Source: the annotation of a GenBank genome assembly
GGCCAGUGUGGUUUAGUGGUUGGACUGCUAGAAUAGGGCCUGGGGUUCAAAUCCCCACUUGGCCA